RNAcentral lists this unclassified non-coding RNA (355 nucleotides) under soil metagenome. RNAcentral's name for it is "partial contains 5.8S ribosomal RNA, internal transcribed spacer 2, and large subunit ribosomal RNA". The stretch from base 1 to 120 matches the Rfam family "5.8S ribosomal RNA", at positions 35 to 154 of the family's 154-position model. The record is from RNAcentral.
GAUGAAGAACGUAGCUAAAUGCGAUAAGUAGUGUGAAUUGCAGAAUUCAGUGAAUCAUCGAAUCUUUGAACGCACAUUGCGCCUUCUAGUAUUCUGGGAGGCAUGCCUGUUUGAGCGUCAUUAAACCUCUCUCAAGUAUGAUUACUUGGAUGUGAAGGAAGAGUACCUUAAACUUAAGGAGUGUUCUCCUUUGAAAUUGAUUAGCAGAUGGUAAUGUUAUUAAAUCCCUGAUGUUGUAAGAAAUAACAGUGGUUUUGUAGACUAUUAUCUAGCUUUAAAUUAUAAUUUUUAUUAUGGUUGACCUCAAAUCAGGUAAGGAUACCCGCUGAACUUAAGCAUAUCAAUAAGCGGAGGA